CCAGAGCUCUGGGGACGACUCAUAUCCCACG
RNAcentral lists this non-coding RNA (31 nucleotides) under Mus musculus (house mouse). Lineage: Eukaryota; Metazoa; Chordata; Mammalia; Rodentia; Muridae. The record is from RNAcentral.